Molecule: long non-coding RNA, 170 nt
Organism: Puntigrus tetrazona (Sumatra barb)
Lineage: Eukaryota; Metazoa; Chordata; Actinopteri; Cypriniformes; Cyprinidae
Exons: 3
Source: RefSeq, a predicted model, not a curated record
ACAUCCGCAGGAGAAUGGAGGAAGAGACCAGGAAGGAACUGGAUGAGAUGAGAGUGAAGGAUCCAGUCAAAGGCAUGGUGGCUCUUGAAGAUUGAAGCUGCUCUGUAUUCCUGGAUGCUGCUGUUCAUAAAGAUCAGACCUGAACUACUGGAGACCAGCAGCAUCUCUCC